GAGAAACCGAUGAGAAAGAGGAGUAAGCCUUCUUCUGAUAUCACAGAGAGCUGCAGGCGGUGGGAUUGCAGUAUGGAAGGGAUCGCUGAAUGGACUUUCGAGGGCGGCCUGAAAUGAAAAGAGUAGGAGCUGCCGGGAACCAAACCCGUUAUCAAUGAGGGAUGCAUGGUAGUGCAUUGAAAGUGGACAUUUAUGUCAAUUUGAGUGGUACCGCGAUUAUAAACGAUUAUAACCGUCUCAAGC
This 243-nucleotide non-coding RNA is filed under the name Clostridium sp. RNAcentral describes it as "T-box sequence". It matches the Rfam family "T-box leader". From Rfam's summary of the family: Uncharged tRNA acts as the effector for transcription antitermination of genes in the T-box leader family. T-boxes are found upstream of many aminoacyl-tRNA synthetase genes and some amino acid biosynthetic genes usually in Gram-positive bacteria. The record is from RNAcentral. Lineage: Bacteria; Bacillati; Bacillota; Clostridia; Eubacteriales; Clostridiaceae.